Homo sapiens (human) is the source of this 148-nucleotide non-coding RNA. It matches the Rfam family "Metazoan signal recognition particle RNA". From Rfam's summary of the family: The signal recognition particle (SRP) is a universally conserved ribonucleoprotein. It is involved in the co-translational targeting of proteins to membranes. The record is from Rfam. Lineage: Eukaryota; Metazoa; Chordata; Mammalia; Primates; Hominidae.
GCUGGGCAUGGUGAUGUGUGCCUGUAGUUCCAGCUACUCAGGAGGCUAAGAUGGGAGGAUCGCUUGAGCCCAGGAGGUCAAGGCUGCAGUGAGCCAAGAUUGUGCCACUGCACUCCAGCCUGGGCAACAGAGUGAGACCCUGUCUCAA